AAAGAGCAACAUUACCAACAAAAUAAAGAAAAAAAAAAAAAGAGAGAAAGGGAGAAUUGAGGCUGUGGGUCAUAAUAGGACUAUAUAAUGGUUGUUGGAGCAUCAAAGCCAACUGUAGUGGCUGAUGCUGAUAGGUUUUCCAGUAUGAAAAGGUUUAAAGAAAAGAGAUGGAACUCUAGAAGGAGGAUGCUUGGGGGAAGAUUGUUAGGUGAAUGAUCUCCAAAAUCAUAUAAGUGUAGAAUAUAUUUAUG
Long non-coding RNA from Quercus lobata, 251 nucleotides. RefSeq lists it as uncharacterized. NCBI's taxonomy places the organism in Eukaryota, Viridiplantae, Streptophyta, Magnoliopsida, Fagales, Fagaceae. The transcript is spliced from 3 exons. The record is from RefSeq and is a predicted model, not a curated record.